RNAcentral lists this ribosomal RNA (465 nucleotides) under Vreelandella stevensii. RNAcentral describes it as "partial 16S ribosomal RNA". It matches the Rfam family "Bacterial small subunit ribosomal RNA", at positions 338 to 795 of the family's 1533-position model. The record is from RNAcentral. Lineage: Bacteria; Pseudomonadati; Pseudomonadota; Gammaproteobacteria; Oceanospirillales; Halomonadaceae.
CCUACGGGGGGCUGCAGUGGGGAAUAUUGGACAAUGGGCGAAAGCCUGAUCCAGCCAUGCCGCGUGUGUGAAGAAGGCCUUCGGGUUGUAAAGCACUUUCAGUGGGGAAGAAAGCCUUGGGGCUAAUACCCUCGAGGAAGGACAUCACCCACAGAAGAAGCACCGGCUAACUCCGUGCCAGCAGCCGCGGUAAUACGGAGGGUGCGAGCGUUAAUCGGAAUUACUGGGCGUAAAGCGCGCGUAGGCGGUCUGAUAAGCCGGUUGUGAAAGCCCCGGGCUCAACCUGGGAACGGCAUCCGGAACUGUCAGGCUAGAGUGCAGGAGAGGAAGGUAGAAUUCCCGGUGUAGCGGUGAAAUGCGUAGAGAUCGGGAGGAAUACCAGUGGCGAAGGCGGUCUUCUGGACUGACACUGACGCUGAGGUGCGAAAGCGUGGGUAGCAAACAGGAUUAGAUACCCGGGUAGUC